RNAcentral lists this ribosomal RNA (465 nucleotides) under uncultured Klebsiella sp. Its description in RNAcentral is "bacterial SSU rRNA". It matches the Rfam family "Bacterial small subunit ribosomal RNA", at positions 338 to 795 of the family's 1533-position model. The record is from RNAcentral. Lineage: Bacteria; Pseudomonadati; Pseudomonadota; Gammaproteobacteria; Enterobacterales; Enterobacteriaceae.
CCUACGGGUGGCAGCAGUGGGGAAUAUUGCACAAUGGGCGCAAGCCUGAUGCAGCCAUGCCGCGUGUGUGAAGAAGGCCUUCGGGUUGUAAAGCACUUUCAGCGGGGAGGAAGGCGUUAAGGUUAAUAACCUUGGCGAUUGACGUUACCCGCAGAAGAAGCACCGGCUAACUCCGUGCCAGCAGCCGCGGUAAUACGGAGGGUGCAAGCGUUAAUCGGAAUUACUGGGCGUAAAGCGCACGCAGGCGGUCUGUCAAGUCGGAUGGGAAAUCCCCGGGCUCAACCUGGGAACUGCAUUCGAAACUGGCAGGCUAGAGUCUUGUAGAGGGGGGUAGAAUUCCAGGUGUAGCGGUGAAAUGCGUAGAGAUCUGGAGGAAUACCGGUGGCGAAGGCGGCCCCCUGGACAAAGACUGACGCUCAGGUGCGAAAGCGUGGGGAGCAAACAGGAUUAGAUACCCGGGUAGUC